This 393-nucleotide ribosomal RNA is filed under the name uncultured bacterium. RNAcentral describes it as "partial 16S ribosomal RNA". It matches the Rfam family "Bacterial small subunit ribosomal RNA", at positions 523 to 918 of the family's 1533-position model. The record is from RNAcentral.
AUAAGGAGGAUGCAAGCGUUAUCCGGAUUUAUUGGGUUUAAAGGGUGCGUAGGCGGAUGAUUAAGCGUGAGGUGAAAUGCCACUGCUCAACAGUGGAACUGCCUCGCGAACUGGUUGUCUUGAAUGCUCCUGCCGUGGGAGGAAUGUGUGGUGUAGCGGUGAAAUGCAUAGAGAUCACACAGAACUCCGAUUGCGAAGGCAGUCCGCUGGGGCACGUCUGACGCUGAUGCUCGAAGGUGCGGGAAUCAAACAGGAUUAGAUACCCUGGUAGUCCGCACGGUAAACGAUGAUUACCCGCUGUCGGCGGUAGACAGUCGGCGGCCAAGCGAAAGCGAUAAGUAAUCCACCUGGGGAGUACGCCGGCAACGGUGAAACUUAAAGGAAUUGACGGGG